Marmota marmota marmota (Alpine marmot) is the source of this 307-nucleotide unclassified non-coding RNA. Its record names the gene 7SK. It matches the Rfam family "7SK RNA". Rfam says of the family: 7SK was discovered as an abundant small nuclear RNA in the mid-70s but a possible function has only recently been suggested. Two independent studies have found that 7SK RNA binds the CDK9/cyclin T complex (known as elongation factor P-TEFb). The record is from Ensembl. NCBI's taxonomy places the organism in Eukaryota, Metazoa, Chordata, Mammalia, Rodentia, Sciuridae.
GGAUGUGAGGACAAUCUGGCUUCCACAUCUAUCACCCCCAUUGAUCACCAGGGUUGAUUCAGAUGAUCUGGCUGGCUAAGAAAGUGUCCCUUUCCUCACUGCUCCAUGUGUGUCCCUCCCAAAGCUUCUUGCUCAAAGAGAACAAUCGUCCCUGAUAGAGGAGGAGCAUCUUUGGUCAAGGGUAUACAAGUAGCUGAGCUCCGCUGCUAGAACCUCCAAACAAGCUCUCAAAAACAGAACAAAGUCUGGGGUGUAGCUCAGCAGCAGAGAGCUUGCCUAGCAUGCAUGAGGUGGCAUUGGGUUCGAU